RNAcentral lists this ribosomal RNA (424 nucleotides) under uncultured bacterium. RNAcentral's name for it is "partial 16S ribosomal RNA". It matches the Rfam family "Bacterial small subunit ribosomal RNA", at positions 360 to 776 of the family's 1533-position model. The record is from RNAcentral.
AAUAUUGGACAAUGGGCGAAAGCCUGAUCCAGCCAUACGGCGUGUGUGAAGAAGGUCUUCGCAUAGCACAGCACUCUAUGUUGUGCGGAAGGGCAGUAAGUUAAUACCUUGCUGUUUUGACGUUACCGACAGAUCAAGCACCGCCUAACUUAGUGCCAGCAGCCGCGGUAAUACGAAGGGUGCAAGCGUUAAUGGGAAUUACUGGGCGUAAAGCGCGCGUAGGUGGUUUGUUAAGUUGGAAGUGAAAGCCCCGGGCUCAACCUGGGAACUGCUUUCAAAACUGGCAAGCUAGAGUAUGGCAGAGGGUGGUGGAAUUUCCUGUGUAGAGGUGAAAUGCGUAGAUAUAGGAAGGAACACCAGUGGCGAAGGCGACUACCUGGACUGAUACUGACACUGAGGUGCGAAAGCGUGGGGAGCAAACAGG